This 458-nucleotide ribosomal RNA is filed under the name uncultured bacterium. Its description in RNAcentral is "partial 16S ribosomal RNA". It matches the Rfam family "Bacterial small subunit ribosomal RNA", at positions 28 to 507 of the family's 1533-position model. The record is from RNAcentral.
GGUGAACGCUGGCGGCGUGCUUAAGACAUGCAAGUCGAACGGGCUCUUCGGAGCCAGUGGCGCACGGGUGAGUAACGCGUAACUGACCUACCCCAAAGUCGCGGAUAACGAUUCGAAAGAAUCGCUAAUACGUGAUGUUCUGUCAGAUCCUGUUCUGCCAGUAAAGAUUUAUUGCUUUGGGAUGGGGUUGCGUUCCAUCAGCUAGUUGGUGGGGUAAAGUCCCACUAAGGCGACGACGGAUCGCCGGCCUGAGAGGGUGGCCGGCCACAGGGGCACUGAGACACGGGUCACACUCCUACGGGAGGCAGCAGUUAGGAAUCUUCCACAAUGGGCGAAAGCCUGAUGGAGCGACGCCGCGUGAGGGAUGAAGGUCUUCGGAUCGUAAACCGCUGAAUCAGGGACGAAAGACGCGAAAGCGGGAUGACGGAACCUGAGUAAUAGCACCGGCUAACUCCGUG